AGACCCGAAACCCGGUGAUCUAGCCAUGGGCAGGUUGAAGGUUGGGUAACACUAACUGGAGGACCGAACCGACUAAUGUUGAAAAAUUAGCGGAUGACCUGUGGCUGGGGGUGAAAGGCCAAUCAAACCGGGAGAUAGCUGGUUCUCCCCGAAAGCUAUUUAGGUAGCGCCUCGUGAAUUCAUCUCCGGGGGUAGAGCACUGUUUCGGCUAGGGGGCCAUCCCGGCUUACCAACCCGAUGCAAACUGCGAAUACCGGAGAAUGUUAUCACGGGAGACACACGGCGGGUGCUAACGUCCGUCGUGAAGAGGGAAACAACCCAGACCGCCAGCUAAGGUCCCAAAGUCAUGGUUAAGUGGGAAACGAUGUGGGAAGGCCCAGACAGCCAGGAUGUUGGCUUAGAAGCAGCCAUCAUUUAAAGAAAGCGUAAUAGCUCACUGGUCGAGUCGGCCUGCGCGGAAGAUGUAACGGGGCUAAACCAUGCACCGAAGCUGCGGCAGCGACGCUGAUGCGUUGUUGGGUAGGGGAGCGUUCUGUAAGCCUGUGAAGGUGGCCUGUGAGGGUUGCUGGAGGUAUCAGAAGUGCGAAUGCUGACAUAAGUAACGAUAAAGCGGGUGAAAAGCCCGCUCGCCGGAAGACCAAGGGUUCCUGUCCAACGUUAAUCGGGGCAGGGUGAGUCGACCCCUAAGGCGAGGCCGAAAGGCGUAGUCGAUGGGAAACGGGUUAAUAUUCCCGUACUUGGUGUUACUGCGAAGGGGGGACGGAGAAGGCUAUGUUGGCCGGGCGACGGUUGUCCCGGUUUAAGCGUGUAGGCGGGUGUUCCAGGUAAAUCCGGAACGCUGUUAACGCUGAGGCGUGAUGACGAGGCACUACGGUGCUGAAGCAACAAAUGCCCUGCUUCCAGGAAAAGCCUCUAAGCAUCAGGUAACAUCAAAUCGUACCCCAAACCGACACAGGUGGUCAGGUAGAGAAUACCAAGGCGCUUGAGAGAACUCGGGUGAAGGAACUAGGCAAAAUGGUGCCGUAACUUCGGGAGAAGGCACGCUGACACGUAGGUGAAGUGAUUUACUCAUGGAGCUGAAGUCAGUCGAAGAUACCAGCUGGCUGCAACUGUUUAUUAAAAACACAGCACUGUGCAAACACGAAAGUGGACGUAUACGGUGUGACGCCUGCCCGGUGCCGGAAGGUUAAUUGAUGGGGUCAGCGCAAGCGAAGCUCCUGAUCGAAGCCCCGGUAAACGGCGGCCGUAACUAUAACGGUCCUAAGGUAGCGAAAUUCCUUGUCGGGUAAGUUCCGACCUGCACGAAUGGCGUAAUGAUGGCCAGGCUGUCUCCACCCGAGACUCAGUGAAAUUGAACUCGCUG
Molecule: ribosomal RNA, 1363 nt
Filed under: Salmonella enterica subsp. enterica serovar Fluntern
Lineage: Bacteria; Pseudomonadati; Pseudomonadota; Gammaproteobacteria; Enterobacterales; Enterobacteriaceae
Description: partial 23S ribosomal RNA
Rfam family: Bacterial large subunit ribosomal RNA
Source: RNAcentral